UUCCGGUUGAUCCUGCCGGACCUGACUGCUAUCGGAUUGAUACUAAGCCAUGCGGGUCAUUGUAGCAAUACAAGGCAGACGGCUCAGUAACGCGUAGUCAACCUAACCUAUGGACGGGAAUAACCUCGGGAAACUGAGAAUAAUGCCCGAUAGAACAUUAUGCCUGGAACGGUUUAUGUUCCAAAUGAUUUAUCGCCGUAGGAUGGGACUGCGGCCUACCAGUUUGUUGGUGAGGUAAUGGCCCACCAAGACUAUUACAGGUACGGGCUCUGAGAGGAGUAGCCCGGAGAUGGGUACUGAGACACGGACCCAGGCCCUAUGGGGCGCAGCAGGCGAGAAAACUUUGCAAUGUGCGAAAGCACGACAAGGUUAAUCCGAGUGGUUUCUGCUAAAGGAACCUUUUGUCGGUCCUAGAAACACCGAUGAAUAAGGGGUGGGCAAGUUCUGGUGUCAGCCGCCGCGGUAAAACCAGCACCUCAAGUGGUCAGGAUGAUUAUUGGGCCUAAAGCAUCCGUAGCCUGCUUUGUUAGUCUUCGGUUAAAUCUGUACGCUCAACGUACAGGCUGCCGGGAAUACUGCAAAGCUAGGGAGUGGGAGAGGUAGACGGUACCCGGUAGGAAGGGGUAAAAUCCUUUGAUCUAUUGAUGACCACCUGUGGCGAAGGCGGUCUACCAGAACACGUCCGACGGUGAGGGAUGAAAGCUGGGGGAGCAAACCGGAUUAGAUACCCGGGUAGUCCCAGCCGUAAACCAUGCAAACUCAGUGAUGCAUUGGCUUGUGGCCAAUGCAGUGCUGCAGGGAAGCCGUUAAGUUUGCCGCC
This 820-nucleotide ribosomal RNA is filed under the name uncultured archaeon. RNAcentral describes it as "bacterial SSU rRNA". It matches the Rfam family "Archaeal small subunit ribosomal RNA", at positions 4 to 828 of the family's 1478-position model. The record is from RNAcentral.